This 429-nucleotide ribosomal RNA is filed under the name Gemmatimonadota bacterium. RNAcentral's name for it is "Gemmatimonadetes bacterium partial 16S ribosomal RNA". It matches the Rfam family "Bacterial small subunit ribosomal RNA", at positions 355 to 776 of the family's 1533-position model. The record is from RNAcentral. Lineage: Bacteria; Pseudomonadati; Gemmatimonadota.
UAGGGAAUCUUCGGCAAUGGACGAAAGUCUGACCGAGCAACGCCGCGUGAGUGAAGAAGGUUUUCGGAUCGUAAAACUCUGUUGUUAGAGAAGAACAAGGACGUUAGUAACUGAACGUCCCCUGACGGUAUCUAACUAGAAAGCUACGGCUAACUACGUGCCAGCAGCCGCGGUAAUACGUAGGUGGCAAGUGUUGUUCGGAUUUAUUGUGCGUAAAGCGAGCGCAGGCGGUUUCUUAAGUCUGAUGUGAAAGCCCCCGGCUCAACCGGGGAGGGUCAUUGGAAACUGAGAGACUUGAGUGCAGAAGAGGAGAGUGGAAUUCCAUGUGUAGCGGUGAAAUGCGUAGAUAUAUGGAGGAACACCAGUGGCGAAGGCGGCUCUCUGGUCUGUAACUGACGAUGAGGCUCGAAAGCGUGGGGAGCAAACAGG